GAUGAACGCUGGCGGCGUGCCUAAUACAUGCAAGUCGAGCGAACGGACGAGAAGCUUGCUUCUCUGAUGUUAGCGGCGGACGGGUGAGUAACACGUGGAUAACCUACCUAUAAGACUGGGAUAACUUCGGGAAACCGGAGCUAAUACCGGAUAAUAUUUUGAACCGCAUGGUUCAAAAGUGAAAGACGGUCUUGCUGUCACUUAUAGAUGGAUCCGCGCUGCAUUAGCUAGUUGGUAAGGUAACGGCUUACCAAGGCAACGAUGCAUAGCCGACCUGAGAGGGGGAUCGGCCACACUGGAACUGAGACACGGUCCAGACUCCUACGGGAGGCAGCAGUAAGGAAUCUUCCGCAAUGGGCGAAAGCCUGACGGAGCAACGCCGCGUGAGUGAUGAAGGUCUUCGGAUCGUAAAACUCUGUUAUUAGGGAAGAACAUAUGUGUAAGUAACUGUGCACAUCUUGACGGUACCUAAUCAGAAAGCCACGGCUAACUACGUG
RNAcentral lists this ribosomal RNA (497 nucleotides) under uncultured bacterium. RNAcentral's name for it is "partial 16S ribosomal RNA". It matches the Rfam family "Bacterial small subunit ribosomal RNA", at positions 28 to 507 of the family's 1533-position model. The record is from RNAcentral.